Molecule: ribosomal RNA, 460 nt
Filed under: uncultured bacterium
Lineage: Bacteria
Description: partial 16S ribosomal RNA
Rfam family: Bacterial small subunit ribosomal RNA
Source: RNAcentral
CCUACGGGAGGCAGCAGUGAGGAAUAUUGGUCAAUGGACGAGAGUCUGAACCAGCCAAGCAGCGUGAAGGAUGAAUGCCCUAUGGAUUGUAAACUUCUUUUAUAUGGGAAUAAAAUGGUCCACUAGUGGGCUUUUGUAUGUACCAUAUGAAUAAGGAUCGGCUAACUCCGUGCCAGCAGCCGCGGUAAUACGGAGGAUCCGAGCGUUAUCCGGAUUUAUUGGGUUUAAAGGGAGCGUAGGUGGCUUGUUAAGUCAGUUGUGAAAGUUUCCGGCUCACCCGUAAAAUUGCAGUUGAAACUGGCAGUCUUGAGUACAGUAGAGGUGGGCGGAAUUCGUGGUGUAGCGGUGAAAUGCUUAGAUAUCACGAAGAACUCCGAUGGCGAAGGCAGCUCACUGGACUGCAACUGACACUGAGGCUCGAAAGUGUGGGUAUCAAACAGGAUUAGAUACCCUUGUAGUC